RNAcentral lists this transfer RNA (73 nucleotides) under bacterium. Its description in RNAcentral is "tRNA-Ile". It matches the Rfam family "tRNA". Rfam says of the family: Transfer RNA (tRNA) molecules are approximately 80 nucleotides in length. Their secondary structure includes four short double-helical elements and three loops (D, anti-codon, and T loops). Further hydrogen bonds mediate the characteristic L-shaped molecular structure. tRNAs have two regions of fundamental functional importance: the anti-codon, which is responsible for specific mRNA codon recognition, and the 3' end, to which the tRNAs corresponding amino acid is attached (by aminoacyl-tRNA synthetases). tRNAs cope with the degeneracy of the genetic code in two manners: having more than one tRNA (with a specific anti-codon) for a particular amino acid; and 'wobble' base-pairing, i.e. permitting non-standard base-pairing at the 3rd anti-codon position. The record is from RNAcentral. RNAcentral also lists the same sequence under 5 other names.
GGCCCCGUAGCUCAGCGGUUAGAGCAGACGACUCAUAAUCGUUUGGUCCUCGGUUCGAAUCCGAGCGGGGCUA